RNAcentral lists this ribosomal RNA (303 nucleotides) under uncultured bacterium. RNAcentral describes it as "partial 16S ribosomal RNA". It matches the Rfam family "Bacterial small subunit ribosomal RNA", at positions 507 to 807 of the family's 1533-position model. The record is from RNAcentral.
AGCAGCAGCCGCGGGAAAACGGAGGGGGCUAGCGUUGUUCGGAAUUACUGGGCGUAAAGCGCACGUAGGCGGCUUGGUAAGUUAGAGGUGAAAGCCCGGUGCUCAACUCCGGAAUUGCCUUUAAGACUGCCGAGCUAGCAGGUGAGAGAGGUAAGUGGAAUUCCGAGUGUAGAGGUGAAAUUCGUAGAUAUUCGGAAGAACACCAGUGGCGAAGGCGGCUUACUGGCUCAUACUGGACGCUGAGGUGCGAAAGCGUGGGGAGCAAACAGGAUUAGAUACCCGAGUAGUCCCUGUCUCUUAUAC